Molecule: transfer RNA, 75 nt
Filed under: Ensifer meliloti
Lineage: Bacteria; Pseudomonadati; Pseudomonadota; Alphaproteobacteria; Hyphomicrobiales; Rhizobiaceae
Description: Sinorhizobium meliloti tRNA-Val
Rfam family: tRNA
About the family: Transfer RNA (tRNA) molecules are approximately 80 nucleotides in length.
Source: RNAcentral
GCACCGCAGGCCGACUGGGCAGGCGGCUGUUUUACACGCAGCUUAAGCGGGGUUCGAUUCCCUGGCGGUGUACCA